UAGGUCUGUUCGUUUGCUCAUUU
RNAcentral lists this small nuclear RNA (23 nucleotides) under Arabidopsis thaliana (thale cress). RNAcentral describes it as "snRNA_07308". The record is from RNAcentral. Lineage: Eukaryota; Viridiplantae; Streptophyta; Magnoliopsida; Brassicales; Brassicaceae.